UACAUGCAAGUAGAACGCUGAAGCUUGGUGCUUGCACCGAGCGGAUGAGUUGCGAACGGGUGAGUAACGCGUAGGUAACCUGCCUCUUAGCGGGGGAUAACUAUUGGAAACGAUAGCUAAUACCGCAUAAAAGUCGAUAUCGCAUGAUGUUGACUUGAAAGGUGCAAUUGCAUCACUAAGAGAUGGACCUGCGUUGUAUUAGCUAGUUGGUGAGGUAACGGCUCACCAAGGCGACGAUACAUAGCCGACCUGAGAGGGUGAUCGGCCACACUGGGACUGAGACACGGCCCAGACUCCUACGGGAGGCAGCAGUAGGGAAUCUUCGGCAAUGGGGGCAACCCUGACCGAGCAACGCCGCGUGAGUGAAGAAGGUUUUCGGAUCGUAAAGCUCUGUUGUAAGAGAAGAACGAGUGUGAGAGUGGAAAGUUCACGCUGUGACGGUAUCUUACCAGAAAGGGACGGCUAACUACGUGCCAGCAGCCGCGGUAAUACGUAGGUCCCGAGCGUUAUCCGGAUUUAUUGGGCGUAAAGCGAGCGCAGGCGGUUAGAUAAGUCUGAAGUUAAAGGCUGUGGCUUAACCAUAGUACGCUUUGGAAACUGUUUAACUUGAGUGCAGAAGGGGAGAGUGGAAUUCCAUGUGUAGCGGUGAAAUGCGUAGAUAUAUGGAGGAACACCGG
This 677-nucleotide ribosomal RNA is filed under the name uncultured Bacilli bacterium. RNAcentral describes it as "bacterial SSU rRNA". It matches the Rfam family "Bacterial small subunit ribosomal RNA", at positions 52 to 712 of the family's 1533-position model. Lineage: Bacteria; Bacillati; Bacillota; Bacilli. The record is from RNAcentral.